This 1471-nucleotide ribosomal RNA is filed under the name Enterococcus sp. Its description in RNAcentral is "bacterial SSU rRNA". It matches the Rfam family "Bacterial small subunit ribosomal RNA". Lineage: Bacteria; Bacillati; Bacillota; Bacilli; Lactobacillales; Enterococcaceae. The record is from RNAcentral.
CUGGGCGGCGUGCCUAAUACAUGCAAGUCGUACGCUUCUUUUUCCACCGGAGCUUGCUCCACCGGAAAAAGAAGAGUGGCGAACGGGUGAGUAACACGUGGGUAACCUGCCCAUCAGAAGGGGAUAACACUUGGAAACAGGUGCUAAUACCGUAUAACAAUCGAAACCGCAUGGUUUUGAUUUGAAAGGCGCUUUCGGGUGUCGCUGAUGGAUGGACCCGCGGUGCAUUAGCUAGUUGGUGAGGUAACGGCUCACCAAGGCCACGAUGCAUAGCCGACCUGAGAGGGUGAUCGGCCACAUUGGGACUGAGACACGGCCCAAACUCCUACGGGAGGCAGCAGUAGGGAAUCUUCGGCAAUGGACGAAAGUCUGACCGAGCAACGCCGCGUGAGUGAAGAAGGUUUUCGGAUCGUAAAACUCUGUUGUUAGAGAAGAACAAGGAUGAGAGUAACUGUUCAUCCCUUGACGGUAUCUAACCAGAAAGCCACGGCUAACUACGUGCCAGCAGCCGCGGUAAUACGUAGGUGGCAAGCGUUGUCCGGAUUUAUUGGGCGUAAAGCGAGCGCAGGCGGUUUCUUAAGUCUGAUGUGAAAGCCCCCGGCUCAACCGGGGAGGGUCAUUGGAAACUGGGAGACUUGAGUGCAGAAGAGGAGAGUGGAAUUCCAUGUGUAGCGGUGAAAUGCGUAGAUAUAUGGAGGAACACCAGUGGCGAAGGCGGCUCUCUGGUCUGUAACUGACGCUGAGGCUCGAAAGCGUGGGGAGCAAACAGGAUUAGAUACCCUGGUAGUCCACGCCGUAAACGAUGAGUGCUAAGUGUUGGAGGGUUUCCGCCCUUCAGUGCUGCAGCUAACGCAUUAAGCACUCCGCCUGGGGAGUACGACCGCAAGGUUGAAACUCAAAGGAAUUGACGGGGGCCCGCACAAGCGGUGGAGCAUGUGGUUUAAUUCGAAGCAACGCGAAGAACCUUACCAGGUCUUGACAUCCUUUGACCACUCUAGAGAUAGAGCUUCCCCUUCGGGGGCAAAGUGACAGGUGGUGCAUGGUUGUCGUCAGCUCGUGUCGUGAGAUGUUGGGUUAAGUCCCGCAACGAGCGCAACCCUUAUUGUUAGUUGCCAUCAUUCAGUUGGGCACUCUAGCAAGACUGCCGGUGACAAACCGGAGGAAGGUGGGGAUGACGUCAAAUCAUCAUGCCCCUUAUGACCUGGGCUACACACGUGCUACAAUGGGAAGUACAACGAGUCGCGAAGUCGCGAGGCUAAGCUAAUCUCUUAAAGCUUCUCUCAGUUCGGAUUGUAGGCUGCAACUCGCCUACAUGAAGCCGGAAUCGCUAGUAAUCGCGGAUCAGCACGCCGCGGUGAAUACGUUCCCGGGCCUUGUACACACCGCCCGUCACACCACGAGAGUUUGUAACACCCGAAGUCGGUGAGGUAACCUUUUGGAGCCAGCCGCCUAAGGUGGGAUAGAUGAUUGG